Long non-coding RNA from Clupea harengus (Atlantic herring), 1050 nucleotides. RefSeq lists it as uncharacterized. The transcript has 4 exons. The record is from RefSeq and is a predicted model, not a curated record. NCBI's taxonomy places the organism in Eukaryota, Metazoa, Chordata, Actinopteri, Clupeiformes, Clupeidae.
GCACAGGUCUAUGUGUAUGAGAGCACAGGUCUAUGUCUAUGAGAGCACAGGUCUAUGAGAGCACAGGUCUAUGUGUAUGAGAGCACAGGUCUAUGUCUAUGAGAGCACAGGUCUAUGUCUAUGAGAGCACAGGUCUAUGUGUAUGAGAGCACAGGUCUAUGUCUAUGAGAGCACAGGUCUAUGUGUAUGAGAGCACAGGUCUAUGUCUAUAAAAGCACAGGUCUAUGUCUAUGAGAGCACAGGUCUAUGUCUAUGAGAGCACAGGUCUAUGUGUAUGAGAGCACAGGUCUAUGUGUAUGAGAGCACAGGUCUAUGUCUAUAAAAGCACAGGUCUAUGUCUAUGAGAGCACAGGUCUAUGUCUAUGAGAGCACAGGUCUAUGUGUAUGAGAGCACAGGUCUAUGUGUAUGAGAGCACAGGUCUAUGAGAACACAGGUCUAUGUGUAUGAGAACACAGGUCUAUGUGUAUGAGAACACAGGUCUAUGUCUAUGAGAGCACAGGUCUAUGAGAACACAGGUCUAUGUCUAUGAGAGCACAGGUCUAUGUCUAUGAGAGCACAGGAGUAUUAAUGGAUAUUAACAACUUUCCAGGCCACAGACAUUUACUAUUUCUCUCCUUACCUUCAAUCCACCUCUCUGUCAAUCUGAAUGACACAUACUGUACUUUAUAGAGUUCAUAGAAAAAUGUAUUAAUGCCAAAAAUAAAAGCUAUUUAAUUGCAUUUCAAUGAUGAUCUGUAAAAUUAGUUUUGGAGAAAUAUCCAUUUAUUAAUCACAAUUUGUCAAACAGAAAUGACCCUUCACUAACUCUAAAACAACACUGAAUGUGAUGAAAUUAAAACACAUACAUACUUAGCAAAAAAAAACCUGUACAAUCUGUGCACUCCAAGCUAACGAGAGACACCUGGGGUGCCCAAACCCCAUGAAUCAAAAUGUGUGUUUACAUUCAGUGCACCCAUAUCAAUUUGGAACUCACAUUUAUUGUAUAUGACCAAUUCAGUUUUCACUUUACCAGGUAUAAAUUAAGAAAAUGUCAAUGAAAAUAUUGUUAU